This 978-nucleotide ribosomal RNA is filed under the name Pseudechiniscus aff. facettalis Ca1. RNAcentral's name for it is "partial 28S large subunit ribosomal RNA". It matches the Rfam family "Eukaryotic large subunit ribosomal RNA", at positions 1089 to 1880 of the family's 3401-position model. Lineage: Eukaryota; Metazoa; Tardigrada; Heterotardigrada; Echiniscoidea; Echiniscidae. The record is from RNAcentral.
GCUUACUUGAUUUGAAGUCUGGACCAUUAAAUUGGAUGCAUGAUAACUAAGUGGGCCAUUUUUGGUAAGCAGAACUGGCGCUGUGGGAUGAACCGAACGUUGAGUUACGGCGCCUGAUUAUAGACGCUCAUCAGAUACCACAAAAGGUGUUGGUUGCUAUAGACAGCAGGACGGUGGCCAUGGAAGUCGGAAUCCGCUAAGGAGUGUGUAACAACUCACCUGCCGAAGCAACUAGCCCUGAAAAUGGAUGGCGCUAGAGCGUUUAGCCUAUACUCAACCGUUGUGGCACACGCUGCGGUAAGCAAUUAUCGUAUUUGGUGCUUUUAUGGCACAUGCGUGCUAGUCAUGCCUCAACGAGUAGGAGGGUCGCGGCGGUAUGCUUUGAAGGCUUAGCGGCGUGAGCCGGGCUGGAGCUGCCGUCGGUGCAGAUCUUGGUGGUAGUAGCAAAUACUCAAGCGAGAACCUUGAGGACUGAAGUGGAGAAGGCUUCCAUGUGAACAGCAGUUGAACAUGGGUCAGUCGAUCCUAAAGCAUCGGCGAAGGCCGUUCAGAAGCGGUGUCGGUUAUGUGGCAGUAUGCUGUUUCGGCAGUAUGCUGUCCGGCUAUAGGCGCUUGCUCGUUUAUAGUCGCCGCACCUGCUGAAAGGGAAUUGGAUUAAUAUUUCCAAACCUAACAGCGGAGAUUGGUUGCUCAUUAGGCUGCACGGGCCUUGCGCUCGUGUCAGUCGGGGCAACGCGCUGCGGUAACGCAAACGAACUCGGAUACGCUGACUGGAGUCCCGGGAAGAGUUGUCUUUUCUUCAUAAAGAGUCGACUCCAUGGAAUUGGUUCAGCCAGAGAUAUGGAGAUGGCGUCUGAAAAGCAUCGCGCUUCUUGCGAUGUCCGGUGCGCUCCAAGCGGCCCUUGAAAAUCCGAGGGAGAGAAUGAUUUUCGUGUUAGAUCGUACCCAUAUCCGCAGCAGGUCUCCAAGGUUAAAAGC